GCAGUGGUAAGGUGUUGGGUCUCUGCUGAUAUCCAGGUGUAGCAGUGGUAAGGUGUUGGGACUCUGCUGAUAUCCAGGUAUAGCAGUGGUAAGGUGUUGGGACUCUGCUGAUAUCCAGGUAUAGCAGUGGUAAGGUGUUGGGACUCUGCUGAUAUCCAGGUAUAGCAGUGGUAAGGUGUUGGGACUCUGCUGAUAUCCAGGUGUAGCAGUGGUAAGGUGUUGGGACUCUGCUGAUAUACAGGUAUAGCAGUGGUAAGGUGUUGGGACUCUGC
Long non-coding RNA from Oncorhynchus keta (chum salmon), 272 nucleotides. RefSeq lists it as uncharacterized. The record is from RefSeq and is a predicted model, not a curated record. NCBI's taxonomy places the organism in Eukaryota, Metazoa, Chordata, Actinopteri, Salmoniformes, Salmonidae. The transcript has 3 exons.